AUGGCGGGUGUGGGCGCCGGGACGGGCGCGUUGGGCCCAGUCAUCCUCAAGCUCGCCAUCUUGCUCGGCGAUGAGUACACCAUGCUCAAUAGGGUGCGCAAGGACAUCGCGUUCCUUGAGCGUGAGCUCCGGAGGAUGCAGAUCCUGGUAAAUGUGCUGGCCGACAUGGAAGGGCUCGACAAGGUUGCCAUGGACUGGAAAGGCAGCAUGCGCGACCUCAGCUACGACAUGGAAGAGUGCAUCGACCGUUUCAUGCUCCGCCUCGACAACGACGAAGCCAAGCCCAGCUUCGCCAAGAGGACUGCGCGCCACCUCAAGACGUUGUUCACACGACAUGGUAUCGGGACACAGAUUAAGGAGCUCAAGGCCCGCGUCACAGAGGAGAGCGAACGCCGGCAGCGACUGAAUCUCGACAACUACGUCCCAACGACGAACGAGGCAAUAGAUCCCCGGCUAGCCGCGUUCCAUGGGGUGGCCAAGGGCUUGGUGGCCAUGGACGGCCGUAGGGAUCAUGUUGUCUCUUUGUUGAUGGAGGAGAGCGUGGAGCUAAAGGUGGUGGCCAUUGUUGGAGGUGGAGGGCUUGGAAAGACCACACUUGCCAUGGAGGCCUAUCGCGAGAUUGGAGGAGAGUUCCAGUGCCAAGCUCAUGUGACGGUGUCACGCACCCUUAAUCUCAAGAAGCUCUUAAAAGAUGUCCUGUCUCAAAUAGAUGCAGAUGCAUAUAGUAAAUGUCAGUCGGAGAGGUGGGAGAAGGACCAACUAAUUCGUCGAAUCCAGCAGAUCUUGACAGAAAAGAGGUACUUACUUGUUAUUGAUGAUAUAUGGAAAGAACAAGACUGGAAAAUUAUCGCAGCAGUUUUUCCUAACAAUUAUGAUGGUAGCAGAAUAAUUGCUACUACACGCAUUGCCAAUGUAGCCAAGUCAUGUUAUUCUAACUCUCGUGGUCAGCUCUACCAAAUGCAACCUCUGAAUGACGUUGAUUCUCGAAGAUUGUUCUUUAAGAGAAUUUUCAACUAUGACAACUCCUGCCAUCCUCAACUAGAAGAGGUUUCAUCUAGGAUCCUAAAAAAAUGUGGUGGUCUGCCAUUGGCUAUAAUUACCAUUGCGAGUUUGCUAGCUAAUAAACCUCAAAACCCAAAUGAAUGGGAGAGACUCCAAGAUUCCAUUGGUACUGGUCUUUCAUAUGAGAGUGAUGAUGAAGGAAAAGGUAUGACACAUAUAUUGUUACUUAGUUAUUGGGAUCUUCCACACCACUUGAAGACUUGUUUGUUGUACUUAUGUAUAUAUCCAGAGGACUGGUAUAUCCGGUGUGAAGAACUGAAAUUGAAAUGGAUAUCUGAAGGAUUCAUUGCUACAAUACGGGGAAAUUUAUAUCAAGAAGCAGAGAGCUAUUUUAACGAACUUGUCAAUAGAAGCAUGAUCCAACUAGUAUAUGAUGAUCUUCACGGUUAUGGUUUUCAGCAAUAUUGUCAGGUUCAUGAUAUGGUGCUUGACCUUAUAAUAUCUCUGUCAGAUGAAGAGAACUUUGCCACUGUUUUAAAUGGUGUUUGCAGUUCUUUGCCAAGCAAGAUCCAUCGAAUCUCCCUCCAAUCUAGUAGGAAUGAACAACAAGGGGCACUCCAAGCCAUCACACGAAGCAAGCGACAUGUUCGCUCACUAAAUGUGUUUGAAGAAACAAAGCAUAUGCCCCCACUUGAGGACUUUCAGUCUUUACGGGUGCUUGAUAUAUGUGGGGACUAUUGGUUGUGGGAAAACAAGCAUAUAAGAAAUAUUGGAAGUUUCUAUCAACUGAGGUAUUUGAGAAUUAAGUCUGGAGGAAUCACAAAGCUUCCUGAAGAUAUCGGAAAGCUACAGAACUUAGAGACUCUCGAUUUGCGGGACUCUCGAAUUAUAGAACUGCCAUCAACUACAGCCCGACUACAGAAUUUGGUGCACUUAUUUGUUUGCAAUGACUGUGUGUUGUCUGCAGAUAUGUUUGGGAGCAUGCGAGCCCUAGAGGAAGUGUCAGAUAUUUGUAAAGUUGACAACCCUGAGAAAAUUUUGGAAGAGCUUGGACAUCUAACAAAAUUGAGAAAGAUUACGAUGACUGGAUUAUGGACUGAAUUCCAUCAAGAAAAGCUGAGGUCAUCUCUGAAGGGGUUGGGCAAUGGAAGCCUUCAAUAUAUUUAUACUUUUGGAGAAAUAGGAGAAUAUAUGUUCAGGGAUCCAUGCUGCACCUUUCCGCACCUUCAAAAUCUUAAACUAGAGGGGCGCAUGAAAAGUGUUCCCAAGGGAAUGACCUACCUAACCAACAUCCUCCAAUUAGACAUAGCAGUCAGACUAUUUGAUGAGGAAGGUCUCCAUAUUCUUAUGGGUAUGCCUUCUCUGCUCAAUCUCCAGCUAGAAGUCUGGGAUCAGUCGGCUGGCGUCUUGACUGUAGGUAGUAACGGAUUCAAGCUGCUAGAGCUGUUCCACUACACAAUUAGGGCACCCAAAACAAUGGGUAUAAAGUUUGCAGCAGAUGCUAUGCCAGCACUCCGAUGGCUCUAUCUUUGCUGGAGAGCCUAUCCUGUCGCGUUCUGGAAUAGUGACGUUGCUGACAUGGGUUUCGAGCAUCUUUCAAGCCUCGCUGACCUCCGGGUCGAAAUUGAUUGUUAUCAUGCAACUCUGGACGAGGUGGAGAUUGUGGAAGGUUUCGUUGAAAAAGCAAUCGCUUUGCAUCCCAACCAUCACAAUCUUCAGCUCCGUCUCCGUAGAGUAUGUGAAGAUUUGAUUAUAACUAAUGAGGAGAGGGAAAAGAAGGAGGAGGAGGAAAGGCGUAGGAGAGAAGGUGACGGGUUGUAA
This 2823-nucleotide ribosomal RNA is filed under the name Triticum aestivum (bread wheat). RNAcentral describes it as "partial small subunit ribosomal RNA". Lineage: Eukaryota; Viridiplantae; Streptophyta; Magnoliopsida; Poales; Poaceae. The record is from RNAcentral.